RNAcentral lists this ribosomal RNA (393 nucleotides) under uncultured bacterium. RNAcentral describes it as "partial 16S ribosomal RNA". It matches the Rfam family "Bacterial small subunit ribosomal RNA", at positions 523 to 918 of the family's 1533-position model. The record is from RNAcentral.
AUACGGAGGAUCCAAGCGUUAUCCGGAUUUAUUGGGUUUAAAGGGUGCGCAGGCGGAAGAUUAAGUCGGCGGUGAAAUUUUGCAGCUCAACUGUAAAAGUGCCAUCGAUACUGGUUUUCUUGAGUGUGGAUGAAGUAGGCGGAAUUUGUGGUGUAGCGGUGAAAUGCAUAGAUAUCACGAGGAACUCCGAUUGCGUAGGCAGCUGACCAGACCGCAAAUGACGCUCAUGCACGAAAGUGCGGGGAUCGAACAGGAUUAGGUACCCUGGUAGUCCGCACAGUAAACGAUGAAUACUUGUUUUCGGCGAUAUAAUGUCGGAGGCAAAGCGAAAGCGAUAAGUAUUCCACCUGGGGAGUACGCCGGCAACGGUGAAACUCAAAUGAAUUGACGGGG